RNAcentral lists this unclassified non-coding RNA (364 nucleotides) under uncultured bacterium. RNAcentral describes it as "contains 16S-23S intergenic spacer region". The record is from RNAcentral.
UCCCGGUUGGCCCGGGCAGUCUCGUCUGAAAAAUACAACAGACGACAAGGGUUGCGCUCGUUGCGGGACUUAACCCAACAUCUCACGACACGAGCUGACGACGGCCAUGCAGCACCUGUCACCAGGUUCCCGAAGGCACAGCCACCUUUCGGCGGCCUUCCUGGGAUGUCAAGCCUCGGUAAGGUUCUUCGCGUAGCUUCGAAUUAAACCACAUCCUCCACUGCUUGUGCGGGUCCCCGUCAAUUCCUUUGAGUUUUAAGCUUGCGCUCGUACUCCCCAGGCGGCACACUUAACGCGUUAGCUUCGCAACACAGAGGGUCGAUACUCCAUAUUGCUAGUGUGCAUCGUUUACGGCGUGGACUAC